GAAACUUAAGAUCUAAAGGGAAGCUUCUAACUUACCCUUUUAGCUGUGAAACUCAGUUAAUGUUUCU
Molecule: transfer RNA, 67 nt
Filed under: Margarinotus merdarius
Lineage: Eukaryota; Metazoa; Arthropoda; Insecta; Coleoptera; Histeridae
Description: tRNA-Ser
Source: RNAcentral